This 298-nucleotide unclassified non-coding RNA is filed under the name plant metagenome. RNAcentral's name for it is "partial contains 5.8S ribosomal RNA, internal transcribed spacer 2, and large subunit ribosomal RNA". The stretch from base 1 to 105 matches the Rfam family "5.8S ribosomal RNA", at positions 50 to 154 of the family's 154-position model. The record is from RNAcentral.
GAAAUGCGAUAAGUAAUGUGAAUUGCAGAAUUUAGUGAAUCAUCGAAUCUUUGAACGCACAUUGCGCCCCCUGGUAUUCCGGGGGGCAUGCCUGUUCGAGCGUCAUUUCACCACUCAAGCCUCGCUUGGUAUUGGGCAACGCGGUCCGCCGCGUGCCUCAAAUCGACCGGCUGGGUCUUCUGUCCCCUAAGCGUUGUGGAAACUAUUCGCUAAAGGGUGUUCGGGAGGCUACGCCGUAAAACAACCCCAUUUCUAAGGUUGACCUCGGAUCAGGUAGGGAUACCCGCUGAACUUAAGC